Molecule: unclassified non-coding RNA, 200 nt
Filed under: Hevea brasiliensis (rubber tree)
Lineage: Eukaryota; Viridiplantae; Streptophyta; Magnoliopsida; Malpighiales; Euphorbiaceae
Source: RNAcentral
UUUAAUCAAUUGCCCAGGAGCUAUAAUUUCCUGGUGAAACAUGGGCCAUUGUGGAAGAUGACAUAUUAUGGGUCUGCGCCUCGUGUGAUCCACCAAUCGAAUUUUGCUGCGACUUCUACUUUUAUAGCCCGUGAGGUUGCAAAAGGACUGAUGAAAUACCAGCCUGAUGUUAUUAUCAGUGUACAUCCACUUAUGCAACA